Molecule: long non-coding RNA, 423 nt
Filed under: Mytilus galloprovincialis (Mediterranean mussel)
Lineage: Eukaryota; Metazoa; Mollusca; Bivalvia; Mytilida; Mytilidae
Source: RNAcentral
UAGAGCAAAUCUGACAGGGUUAAAAGUGUUUAUCAGGUCAAGAUCUAUCUGUCCUGAAAUUUUCAUAUGAAUCGGAGAACCUGUUGUUGGGUUGCUGCCCCUGAAUUGGUAUUUUUAAGGAAAUUUUGCUGUUUUUGGUUAUUAUCUUGAAUAUUAUUAUAGAUAGAGAUAAACUGUAAACAGCAAUAAUGUUCAGCAAAGUAAGAUUUACAAAUACGUCAAUGCAAAGGAAAUGGUCAGCUGACCCCUUUAGGAGUUAUUGCCCUUUAUAGUCAAAUUUUAACCAUUUUUUCGUAAAUCUUAGUAAUCUUUUACAAAAAUCUUCUCCUCUGAAACUACUGGGCCAAAUUAAACCAAACUUGGCCACAAUCGUCAUUGGGGUAUCUAGUUUAAAAAAUGUGUGGUGUGACCCGGCCAACCAAC